RNAcentral lists this long non-coding RNA (1100 nucleotides) under Equus caballus (horse). Its description in RNAcentral is "lncRNA (ENSECAG00000049528.1)". Lineage: Eukaryota; Metazoa; Chordata; Mammalia; Perissodactyla; Equidae. The record is from RNAcentral.
CUGUCGCUGAUUACAACACGGAAGCAGAUUAUUAAAACUGUCAAGUGACAAGAAAUCUUAUAUAUCAAUGGGUGGUAUUAAAAGUGAACCUUGACAGCAGUAUAAAAAAAUAUGUUCAUUGAAAGGAAUACACACAAUUUCUUUCCUGUGUUCAUAACAUAGACGUAGGAGAACUCAAUGGCCAAUCCAAGAGCUGCUGAGGUAGUCUGUGUCUAAUAAGGCCCAGGCAUGCUCAAGCUCCUUGUAGCCUCCUUGUUUCUCCAUGUGGCUCUCCGUGGUGGCUGGGAAGCAUUACACAGUGGCUUCCUCUCCCUGCCCUUCAAUUCCCGCCUUUGCAGGACCUGACCAGCAGUCCUUUCCUUGUGUUGAGAAACUGUGAGGCUUGCUUGAUGUGUCUAGAGCCCUACAGCAUACUUGGACACAAGACAGCAUCACCAAGGAUCUCCUUGAUGAAAGGUACCAUGUUGAGUGAGCUUCACCUUUGGGGGACAAGAAUCCUUAACCUCCUUUGGAUGUUCUUACAACUUAGGUAUUUGUUCAUUUUGUGCCUCAGUUUUGUCAUCUGAAAUAAUGAACCAAAGGUCAUCAUUACUUGAAAGGCCUUCAUAAAGAUAACUGGGUGCAAAAAUGCAAAAUAUGUAUGCACUCCUUCAAAAGACUUACUAACUCCGGUGGAGCCAAAGGAUUUGUCCUCAAGGUGGGAAUUCAGAACCAUAGCUGAGAUUUGGCAAAUAAAAGUGCAUGUCAUAAGAACCAGGAGGGAGCUUUUACUCAUAAAUUUUUACACAGAGACCUCAGGUGGCUGCAAAUUUCUAAAUGUCAAGUUCUAAUGGCUAUGUUGGCUUUCAUUUCUUAUACUCAAAAUAAUCAACUCUCCACACUAAUAUUUUCAAAGGGAAUUCUGAAAGUGAAAUGAAUAGACUAACAACUUCGAAAUUAAGAACUAGGGUAGCCGUUUAGUGUUCUGAUAUUUAUGAAAAGAAUAGCUCUGUUUGCUUAGCUGGCAAAGCUCAUGUUUCUAGAAGUUUUCAAUUUUGGUCUUGUUUUGUUUUAUGAAAAGUUAUUUUUUUUCAAAAUGAAAACACUUUAAUAAGGAUUAU